GCCGAAGGAAAGCAAAGGCCAUAAAAAAAGAGAAGAAGAAGUGUUUUCUGUCAAAUGUUAUUUUUAUCAACUUAAUCUGUUUAUUAAUUUAUUUCGAGCGGGAAUAACACUUUUCAUGAACUGUUAAAUGUUUUGUACGAUGGUAGCCCGCGAAAUUUGAAUAUUACCCCUAGUUUUUCAACAGUCCACUUAUGUCGCAAAGUAUCGCUGCAACGCAUUAAAAUAUAUCACGAUGGUUUGAAGAUUACCUGUGAGUAAGAUAGGGUAAAGUUGCGAACAACGUUGAGACGGUAUUAUUGGCAUUUCUCAAGAGUGGACUGAUUAUUGAAAACGAAGUAGCAAGGAGCAUUAGCAAUUUUGAAGGUAUGAAAAUUUAUCAGGAGAGAUUUUCAAUGUACUCUUUAUACAGUUGAACAAAGGUUUGUAAGCAGAAUAAUAAACCAAGAUAGUUUUCCAUUUCGAAGAAAAAACAACUCAGCUUUCUGAUAACUUAUAAGCCAAAUGCCGUAUAAUGAUGGUUUGGAGCACUUGUAUUUUUUCAAGUUGACUAGCCUGUGUAUUUGUUAUUGAUGUCACCUAUCAUAUAUACUUGAUGUUCAUAUUGUCCAUUUUGCUGUUUGAAAAUCGCUUUCUUUGUAUUUAUUUUAUCAUCCCAUAUUAAAUAAAAUUUUGUUUAGAGAUCA
Molecule: long non-coding RNA, 683 nt
Organism: Leptinotarsa decemlineata (Colorado potato beetle)
Lineage: Eukaryota; Metazoa; Arthropoda; Insecta; Coleoptera; Chrysomelidae
Source: RefSeq, a predicted model, not a curated record